This 492-nucleotide ribosomal RNA is filed under the name uncultured bacterium. RNAcentral describes it as "partial 16S ribosomal RNA". It matches the Rfam family "Bacterial small subunit ribosomal RNA", at positions 29 to 507 of the family's 1533-position model. The record is from RNAcentral.
AGUGAACGCUGGCGGUAGGCCUAACACAUGCAAGUCGAACGGCAGCACAGUAAGAGCUUGCUCUUACGGGUGGCGAGUGGCGGACGGGUGAGGCAUAGAUCGGAAUCUACUUUUUCGUGGGGGAUAACGUAGGGAAACUUACGCUAAUACCGCAUACGACCUACGGGUGAAAGCAGGGGAUCUUCGGACCUUGCCCGAUUGAAUGAGCCGAUGUCGGAUUAGCUAGUUGGCGGGGUAAAGGCCCACCAAGGCGACGAUCCGUAGCUGGUCUGAGAGGAUGAUCAGCCACACUGGAACUGAGACACGGUCCAGACUCCUACGGGAGGCAGCAGUGGGGAAUAUUGGACAAUGGGCGCAAGCCUGAUCCAGCCAUACCGCGUGGGUGAAGAAGGCCUUCGGGUUGUAAAGCCCUUUUGUUGGGAAAGAAAAGCAGCAUGUUAAUACCCCGCUGUUCUGACGGUACCCAAAGAAUAAGCACCGGCUAACUUCGUG